Molecule: non-coding RNA, 854 nt
Filed under: Phaethon lepturus (White-tailed tropicbird)
Lineage: Eukaryota; Metazoa; Chordata; Aves; Phaethontiformes; Phaethontidae
Description: Bacterial large subunit ribosomal RNA
Rfam family: Bacterial large subunit ribosomal RNA
Source: Rfam by way of RNAcentral
AGCAAAGAUUAAUCCUUGUACCUCUCGCAUCAUGAUCUAGCAAGAACAACCAAGCAAAGCGAACUUAAGCUUGCCCCCCCGAAACCCAAGCGAGCUACUUACAAGCAACUGCCCCGAGUGAACCCGUCUCUGUCGCAAAAGAGUGGGAUGACUUGUCAGUAGUGGUGAAAAGCCAACCGAGCUGGGUGAUAGCUGGUUGCCUGUAAAACGAAUCUAAGUUCCCCCUUAAUUUUCCUCUACGGACACCCACCCAGCCCCCUCGAAGCAAAUUAAGAGAAAUUUAAAGGAGGUACAGCUCCUUUAAAAAAGGAUACAACCUUCGCCAGCGGAUAACCCCCUCCACCCAUCAUGACCGUGGGCCUUAAAGCAGCCACCACCAAAGAGUGCGUCAAAGCUCCACCAACCAAAAAAUCCAAGAACAACACGAAUCCCUCCCCCCCAACAGGCUAAUCUAUGACAAUAGAAGAAUUAAUGCUAAAAUAAGUAACCAGGGAUCAACCCCCCUCUCAGGCGCAAGCUUACAUCCCCACAUUAUUAACAGACUCAACAAUACCUCCAACCCCCUCACAAGCUCACAUAUUAACUUAACCCUGUUAACCCAACCCAGGAGCGCCUACCAAGAAAGAUUAAAAUCUGUGAAAGGAACUAGGCAAACCCAAGGCCCGACUGUUUACCAAAAACAUAGCCCCCAGCAAACCAAGUAUUGGGGGUGAUGCCUGCCCAGUGACCCACGUUUAACGGCCGCGGUAUCCUAACCGUGCAAAGGUAGCGCAAUCAAUUGUCCCAUAAAUCGAGACCUGUAUGAAUGGCUAAACGAGGUCUUAACUGUCUCUCACAGAUAAUCAGUGAAAUUG